Molecule: ribosomal RNA, 1341 nt
Filed under: uncultured bacterium
Lineage: Bacteria
Description: partial 16S ribosomal RNA
Rfam family: Bacterial small subunit ribosomal RNA
Source: RNAcentral
GACGAACGCUGGCGGCGUGCUUAACACAUGCAAGUCGAACGGUAAGGCUCCAGCUUGCUGGGGUACACGAGUGGCGAACGGGUGAGUAACACGUGGGUGACCUGCCCUGCACUUCGGGAUAAGCCUGGGAAACUGGGUCUAAUACCGGAUAGGACCGCACCGUGAGGGUGUGGUGGAAAGUUUUUUCGGUGUGGGAUGGGCCCGCGGCCUAUCAGCUUGUUGGUGGGGUAAUGGCCUACCAAGGCGGCGACGGGUAGCCGGCCUGAGAGGGUGGACGGCCACAUUGGGACUGAGACACGGCCCAGACUCCUACGGGAGGCAGCAGUGGGGAAUAUUGCACAAUGGGCGGAAGCCUGAUGCAGCGACGCCGCGUGGGGGAUGACGGCCUUCGGGUUGUAAACUCCUUUCACCAUCGACGAAGGGUUUCUGACGGUAGAUGGAGAAGAAGCACCGGCUAACUACGCGCCAGCAGCCGCGGUAAUACGUAGGGUGCGAGCGUUGUCCGGAAUUACUGGGCGUAAAGAGCUCGUAGGUGGUUUGUCGCGUCGUCUGUGAAAUUCCGGGGCUUAACUCCGGGCGUGCAGGCGAUACGGGCAUAACUUGAGUACUGUAGGGGAGACUGGAAUUCCUGGUGUAGCGGUGAAAUGCGCAGAUAUCAGGAGGAACACCGGUGGCGAAGGCGGGUCUCUGGGCAGUAACUGACGCUGAGGAGCGAAAGCAUGGGGAGCGAACAGGAUUAGAUACCCUGGUAGUCCAUGCCGUAAACGGUGGGCGCUAGGUGUGGGUUUCCUUCCACGGGAUCCGUGCCGUAGCUAACGCAUUAAGCGCCCCGCCUGGGGAGUACGGCCGCAAGGCUAAAACUCAAAGGAAUUGACGGGGGCCCGCACAAGCGGCGGAGCAUGUGGAUUAAUUCGAUGCAACGCGAAGAACCUUACCUGGGCUUGACAUAUACAGGAUCGCGCCAGAGAUGGUGUUUCCCUUGUGGCUUGUAUACAGGUGGUGCAUGGUUGUCGUCAGCUCGUGUCGUGAGAUGUUGGGUUAAGUCCCGCAACGAGCGCAACCCUUGUCUUAUGUUGCCAGCACGUUGUGGUGGGGACUCGUAAGAAACUGCCGGGGUUAACUCGGAGGAAGGUGGGGAUGACGUCAAAUCAUCAUGCCCCUUAUGCCCAGGGCUUCACACAUGCUACAAUGGUCGGUACAGUGGGUUGCCAGUCCGUGAGGGCGAGCUAAUCCCGCAAAGCCGGUCUCAGUUCGGAUCGGGGUCUGCAACUCGACCCCGUGAAGUCGGAGUCGCUAGUAAUCGCAGAUCAGCAACGCUGCGGUGAAUACGUUCCCGGGCCU